CUCAAUAGAACAUGUUAUCCUUUGGAUACAUUUCGUACUUGUAUGUCUUCCUCGUAUGUGUCCGCAUACAUUCUCAGGACACAGAGAUUUUCUUGAACCUCCAAGAAAUUCGGAGCAUGCCUGCACUUGAAAAGAAAAAAAAAACAAUGAAUGUAUGGAUGGAUGAACAAAAAUGAUCUUAUCAGGAAGUAUAUCCAAUUACUUAAGGAAUUGCUUAAGGAAUGCAGGCAAAUUAUCACGUGGAUGACAGAGAAGGGAGAGCUGAUGAUAUGAGGUUGUGCCUACUGAGCACGGAGGGAGUGGACCAUGACCUUUACUGCUAGAUGAGGAAGCAUUUGGAAUAUGGAACACAGCACUGUGUUCUUCCCACACUCUCCCAGCUGAAGAAACAGUCAUUAAGUUCUCCCACUCCUGAGGCCACCAAGUUCUCAUCCUUCAAAAUGAAAUCAACGUGAUCCGAAUGUUGCUCAAAUCAGCAUCUGAGAGGGAGGAGAAAGGUCACUCAUGAAUGGAAUCAAGCUCUGACUACUUUGCAAAUAAUCAAGUCACACUAUGCUCUGACAUUCAAAAUAAUGUCAAUAUGGAAAGAGACAGUAUGCUACCUAUGAUUUCUUGAGCUUCUUGAAUUAAUGGAGAUCCUGUUGACCUUUGAGGAAGACUAAAGUCCUUUUUUGAUUCCAGGCCACAUAAGCCAGAGAUAAUGGAGAUUUAUGUUUUAAGGUGCUUCCAUGGCACUGUGUCCACAUCCUUAAGUAAUUUUGAGGUAUUAUUUGGUUGUGCUGAAUAAUGCAGAAUAAUAAAGUUUGACACAAACCAAA
This is a non-coding RNA of Myodes glareolus (Bank vole), 818 nucleotides long. NCBI's taxonomy places the organism in Eukaryota, Metazoa, Chordata, Mammalia, Rodentia, Cricetidae. The record is from RefSeq and is a predicted model, not a curated record.